Molecule: ribosomal RNA, 253 nt
Filed under: uncultured bacterium
Lineage: Bacteria
Description: partial 16S ribosomal RNA
Rfam family: Bacterial small subunit ribosomal RNA
Source: RNAcentral
UACGUAGGGAGCGAGCGUUGUCCGGAAUAACUGGGCGUAAAGGGAGCGUAGGUGGCGAUUUAAGUUAAAUGUGAAAGCCCGGGGCUCAACCCCGGAAGGUCAUUUAAUACUGGAUUGCUAGAGUGCAGAAGAGGUAAGCGGAAUUCCUAGUGUAGCGGUUAAAUGUGUAGAUAUUAGGAGGAACACCAGAGGCGAAGGCGGCUUGCUGGUCUGUAACUGACACUGAGGCUCGAAAGCGUGGGGAGCAAACAGG